Molecule: non-coding RNA, 84 nt
Organism: Gammaproteobacteria bacterium
Lineage: Bacteria; Pseudomonadati; Pseudomonadota; Gammaproteobacteria
Source: Rfam
GCCGGGGUGGCGGAAUUGGUAGACGCGCCGGUCUCAAAAACCGGUGAAGGCGACUUCAUGCCGGUUCGAUUCCGGCCCUCGGCA